This is a non-coding RNA of Schistocerca americana (American grasshopper), 72 nucleotides long. Lineage: Eukaryota; Metazoa; Arthropoda; Insecta; Orthoptera; Acrididae. The record is from the annotation of a RefSeq genome assembly.
GCCAGGGUGGCAUAGUGGUUAUUCCAUCUGCCUAGUGAGCAGCAGACCUGGGUUCAAAUCCCAGCUUUGGUA